UGGUAGCUCAGAUGGUAGAGCAACGGACUGAAAAUCCGUGUGUCACUGGUUCGAUUCCCGUCCA
Molecule: transfer RNA, 64 nt
Filed under: uncultured Stomatobaculum sp.
Lineage: Bacteria; Bacillati; Bacillota; Clostridia; Lachnospirales; Lachnospiraceae
Rfam family: tRNA
About the family: Transfer RNA (tRNA) molecules are approximately 80 nucleotides in length. Their secondary structure includes four short double-helical elements and three loops (D, anti-codon, and T loops). Further hydrogen bonds mediate the characteristic L-shaped molecular structure. tRNAs have two regions of fundamental functional importance: the anti-codon, which is responsible for specific mRNA codon recognition, and the 3' end, to which the tRNAs corresponding amino acid is attached (by aminoacyl-tRNA synthetases). tRNAs cope with the degeneracy of the genetic code in two manners: having more than one tRNA (with a specific anti-codon) for a particular amino acid; and 'wobble' base-pairing, i.e. permitting non-standard base-pairing at the 3rd anti-codon position.
Source: RNAcentral